Anas platyrhynchos (mallard) is the source of this 4697-nucleotide non-coding RNA. NCBI's taxonomy places the organism in Eukaryota, Metazoa, Chordata, Aves, Anseriformes, Anatidae. The record is from RefSeq and is a predicted model, not a curated record.
AUUUAGGGGGGAUUUGGGGGGGAUUUAGGGGACGGGGGGGGUGCAGCCGCGCCGAAAUGCGGGAUUCCCAGCGAUUUGCUUAUUUUGUACUUUAAAAAAACAGGGAAAAACACCGCCUGGGCGCCCCGCCGUCACCCCCGCCUCACACACGCGCGGCGGCUGGGCGCGCUGAGGGGGCUCCCCCCGCUCUGCCCCCCCCCCCCCCGGUACAGCGGGACCCCCCCCCUGCUGCCCCCCUGCUGACCGGGGCUGCGCCCCCCCCCCUCACCCCCGGCCCCCGCUCGGUAACGGGGCAGCGGGGCGCUGACUGAGGGGGCUCUGCCACACUCAAGAUGGCGCCGGGAGCGCUUCGCGGGGCAGCCGCACGGCUCCGCAGCUCCCCCACAGCCGCUCCGCCGCCACCGACGGCCCCGCGGGCACGGGGGAGCCGCAGGGAAGCGGGAUCCGGUGUGAGGGGAGCGGUGGAAAGGGGAAAAAAAACAAGGAAGAGCCCCCCCAGACGGAGGAGCGCCUUUGCCACACUCAAGAUGGCCGCCGGGCCGGGGCGCGAGUCGGCAGGACUUGUCCUCGGAGGGCGGGACAUAGGGCCCGCGCGACGCGGAUUGGUCGGCAGCGCCGGGCGAACGCUGUGCUGACGCUUUGCGGCCUCCUAUUGGCUGAGGCGCCUGCCCGUCGAAAACGGACCUCGGCGUCCUUCACCUCACGGGAUUGAGGCAGCCGCAGCGGGGUCGAGGCCUCAAGGGCCUGGAGGCUGCGGCCUCCGACCCCUGGGGCCUCCGGCCAGGGCUUCCCUCGCUGCGUAGGAGAGGGGCCAGGGCUUUCUCCACGUGCCCAGGCGAAGAACGGGGCCGCACGCACGCCCCGGGAUGUCUGCUCGCUGCUGGAGGCAGCAGCGCCCUCUGCCACGGCCGAGGAGGAGGCUGGAGGCCGCUGGGGCUCUGCGUCCGAAAGAGGAAAGGAAAUAAUUAAAAAAAAAAAAAAAAAAAAAGCCUGGCCCUAAAUAAAGCACUUCUGCUCUAACUUGGCUUCAACGCGUGCCUACUCCGCGAACGAGGGAUGUUCCUCUGGGCUCGGUUCCCACGUUUCGAAAAGGCUUGGAAUAGAGAGGAAGAGUUAAAAAAAGCGAUGCGGGAUGUUUGGGGAAGAAAAGGAGGAAUCCUCGAGGGACGCUCACGCCAGGAUCCCACACAGAAGGCAGGGGGGUGGUGGUGGGGAGAGAACCGAGCCCGGAGUGAAAGCAAAACUGCGCAGGAGAGCGGAGCCGCGGCCGUAGCGGGACGGCUGGUGCAUGCGAGGAGGAGGGAGGCAGCCAGCGCUUGGCAUUUUAUGCCUCAGCAGUCCAAAAAGAAACAAGGAAAAAAAAAAAAAAAGAACUGUUGCCUGUAAAAGGCAGCUGCUGCCGCUUCACCUCUCCUCCACCCCUCCCCGCCGCCAGGCUGGGGAGCGGCUCCGCGGGCUGCGGCGAGAGGAGGAGGAGGAGGAAAAGGAGGAGGCUGAAGGGGACUUUGCAAAAGUGCCCCGGCAGCGGGACAGAAGUUUCCAGGGCUGAGCUCUGCCCGGGAUCUUGGCCCUGCUCCGCCGUCGUCUGCGGGAGGCGAUGGCUCUGGCGGUGCUGGAGGAGGCGGUCGGAGUUUUCCCUCCUCGCCGGCCGUUUCCCUAGCUCAGCAAGUAGCUGUCUCUCUAAUCCCCGGCAAAGAUCCUGCUGCUGGGGCGAUUAUUUCAUCGCGGCAAGCUGCUCCUUCGGAGGAAAUUCUCAUUACGCUCUUUCGGAGAGGCAGGGGAGGGGCGACUGUCACUCAGGCGCUCUGGAAAAAACAGAGGGAUGAGCCUGCAGCAUCGCCGGGCUCCGGCACGAGAUGCGGUGGUGUUUCUAGGUCAGGCUGGCGAUGCGGGACGUGAAGCCAGCGGAGAUGACAUCCUGGCUGUGUCACCUUCUGUGCCCCGAAGGGCGAGGGGGCAGGCGGCGCCGUGCCCCGUGGGUGCCAGAAGCAUCUUUGUGAGACCUUGCCGCAGGAGGCAGAGGCCACGCUUGGGGAACGCCGGCCACCACGGCCAGGACGGGGCCGACCUCCUCCGUGCGUCCCCGUGAGCCGAGCAGGGACGGGAGCAGCUCUCUGCGGUGCCUUUAAUUAGGAGCUGGAGACACAGCCUUCGCCUUUCCCCAGAGGAUUGCAAAAGGCCCAGGCGGGCCCCACACUUGAGCUCACGGCCAUCCCUGCUCCUACACGCGCUUACAAAACAGGGCUCUGACUCACUGGCGUUUCCCGGCCCCGCGCUAACCGACCCCGGGGAGAUGUUUGCAGGGCUCCCUCGGCGGGACCUGGGACGUUCGGCUGCUCUGCGGGGACGUGGCGUGGUCCCACUGAUGUCCCCGCUUCCAAGCAUGAGCCCGCAGCGAGGACAUCUUGCUGGGGAGGGUUAUCCGCAAGGAGCGGAGGAUGUGGGGCAAGGACCGUGCCCUGACCCCAGCAGGCAAUGACACCACGGUCCCUUGAUGUCCAAGAUGCUCCGUGGCUUCUCCAUGGCUGCAGGGAGCCACCAGUUUGGGGCCAGGGCAUGGGAACACCCUUUCUGCAGCUGCCAGGGCCAGGCUGAGGGUAACAAACCCCCCUGGCACUGCUGCUUCUGCUCCUGCCCGCGGGCAGGGUGGGGACACGACUUGGGGGACGAUGAUGGACACCGAGGUGGUGGCACCGUGCCACCAGAGCCGGUGCUCAGAGCCCUGUCCUUCCCCACCCAGCUGCCCGCCAGCCGGGUUUAGAGGCAGCAAAGCUGAUUAUUGCCUUUCUCCCCAGGGAAGGGUGAGCAGGGCAUGGGGGCAGCCUGUCCUGGAGGCAGGGGGAUGAGACGGGUGGGCUUGGUAAGGCUGGGAAGCAGUUGUUUCCCUUUCUUUAUUAUUAUUAUUAUUAUUUUUUAAAUUAUUUUUCUGUCCACCCCCUCCAUUUGAAGGUCACUUGUGACUUCAAGCCCAAGUGUGCAACACCACGGAUCAGGCUCAGGGCUCAUCGCACCGCGAUUACACACCCACACCCCGCCUGGGUCCCGGUGCCAGAGGUGGAGUUUCGCUCCUCAGGGCUCCUGCCCGGGUGCUCAAAGGGCUGCACAGAAGAGAUUUAAAAGAAAAGAAAGGGAGGGAGGAGGCAAGGCCGGAUUCUCCCUCCCUGCCUCUCCCAGUGCUUUGCAAACACGAGGUCUUUGCGAUUUGCUUAGCAGGAGGGAAAACAUCCCUGUGCUCACCCGGGGCUGGACGUGCAGCGGGGCAGGGACUGCACCCUGGCAUUCGGCACGCUGUCCUCUGUCCCCAUUCCUCCCGCUGUCCCCAGUGGGGUGUCCCCAAGGGCCAUGGGGUGCCAGGGGACGUCGUGCAGCGGGGACGGCCACGUGGCGAGCCACCGCUUGCUCCUCUCAUCCCUCCUCGCACACCUGGGAGGAGGUGCGCGCGCAUGCACGCACACACACACAUACACUCACCAAACCAACCCCGAAUCUGGAUUGUUAUCUGAGAGAAUUAAUUACUGGCUCAUGAAUAUUCAGAUUAGAAACUCAGCUGAACCUGGCGGCGGUUUGGCGCUCGGGGCGGCCCUGGGAAGAAGAAUUCCUCCGGAGAGAUAUAAAUCACCGCUCCCCCUCCGUCGCUUUCCCAGCGGAGAGCGCUCCCUCCUCGGAAAGGCAGAACCUCGAUUUCCUUUUUUUUUUUUUCUUUUUUCCUCUCCCCCUUCUUCAUUUUCAAUCCGCGCGGGGCCCCCGUAAUUACAAUGGGCUGCUUUAGGGCUUGUGUUAUUUAUUGGGUAAGAGGGACACACCUACCCGGCUCCAGCCUGCCCGCCUGUCGCGGCUUGCCGCUCCUGCCCGCCGCGCCGUGCCCGCCUGGUUUAGCUCGAGAGGCGCGAGCAGAGCGAGAAGGGGCCCGAGAGGGGCCAGCGGGGACCUUGGCCGAUGGGCUAAGGUCUCACCGUGGUGUUGCAGCAGAGCUGGGAGCCGCGCCGCUGAUAUUGCAAAGCACAAACAUCUUCCUGUGCCGCGGUGGCGGAUGGUCGAUGCCACCGGCGCUCGCACCUCAUUUCGCUCCGCUCGUGAAAUCGUUGCUCCCAUUUUACAGGUGGGGAAGGCGAGGCACGGAGCGGGGAGGCAGUUUGCGACCCGAGGAAAUGGGAAGAAAAGCCCUCGGCUCUAUGCUCCAGCUGCCAGGACCGUCCCCGUGUGCUGCUUCCCAGCACUGCGUCCCCCUGCCCGGCCCCGCUGCCAUCCGCGGGGGCUUGUGCGCUGGGAGGAGGCGAGCGUGCAGGGCUGAAGACCACAUGGCUGGAGGGAAUUAAAUAAUUGAUGGCCCAGAAGUCUCCAGCAGCUACCGAGCCUCCAGGGGCUGCAAUCGGGGAGGCAAAGCAGAGCCCCCUCCGCAAGAGCGUGGGGCCACCAGAAAGCAGCAAGCUCCAGGCCAACGAAGUGGCAGCUCUCCUGCCACGGCAGCCUCCUGGCAUGGGGAGCAGCUUGAAAAAUUUACAGGCUAACAACAAACCAGACAAAUGCCCUUUUGUCAGCGGGCAUCCCGGGCAUCAGCCCCGCAGCAGGAGGAGGUUUUCCCGGCCGAAGCUGCGAGGCGGAGCUGCUGCGGGAUCUGGCGGGCUGCGGGGUGAGGCAUCUCCCUGCGCUAGACAUAUUUGUUUGUCGAUGCUGAAUCUGCCAAUAAAAGUGGUGCA